Non-coding RNA from Choloepus didactylus (southern two-toed sloth), 735 nucleotides. Lineage: Eukaryota; Metazoa; Chordata; Mammalia; Pilosa; Megalonychidae. The record is from the annotation of a RefSeq genome assembly.
UUACUUAAAUUCAGGCUUCUUUGUUUUCUGGAAAAGUAUUUUCUGGGAGUCAGAGACAUCAUCCCCAAGAACAUGAAAUCCUUGUGGUUCUUCCUUUUUCUGGUGGCAGCUCCCAGAUGUGUCCUGUCCCAGGUGCAGCUGAAGGAGUCGGGACCUGGCCUGGUGAAGCCCUCGGAGACCCUGUCCCUCACCUGCUCUGCCUCUGGAUUAUCUUUAUCCAGCAAUGCUAUGGGCUGGAUCCGCCAGGCUCCAGGAAAGGGGCUGGAGUGGGUUGGUGCAAUAAACAGUGGUGGAAGCACAUACUAUAACCCAACCCUUAAGUCCCGAGUCACCAUCACCAAGGACAACUCCAAGAAUGAAGUUUAUUUAAAGCUCAGCAGCCUGAGUCCUGAAGACACGGCCGUGUAUUACUGUGCGAGAGACACAGUGAGAGGAAGUCAGGGUGAGCCCAGACAGAAACCUCCCCUGAGGGCUCAGGAGGGGCUGGUCGACCCAGGGUGCUUGAGACCACUAGGGGGCGCCCAGUGGCCAUCUCCAGGUGCAGCUACAGGCUUCUUAGGAUGGAGCUUACCUGAGGGUCCUCGCAGGGAGACCAGACCUGCCCAGAUGUGUGCUUGGAGCUCAGGUUCCAGCACAUCCUGGGAAGCGGAGCCUGCCCCCCACUACCUCCUCUCUGCCCUGCCUCUGCACCUGGGAAACGGUUUUCUCUUCACUGCAACUAUUGUUAAGGAAUGA